RNAcentral lists this ribosomal RNA (263 nucleotides) under uncultured bacterium. Its description in RNAcentral is "partial 16S ribosomal RNA". It matches the Rfam family "Bacterial small subunit ribosomal RNA", at positions 91 to 354 of the family's 1533-position model. The record is from RNAcentral.
CUUAGUGGCGGACGGGUGAGUAACGCGUGGGUAACCUGCCUUGCACUGGGGGAUAACACUUAGAAAUAGGUGCUAAUACCGCACAAGCGCACGGUCCUGCAUGGGACAGUGUGAAAAACUCCGGUGGUGCAAGAUGGACCCGCGUCUGAUUAGCUGGUUGGCGGGGUAAAGGCCCACCAAGGCGACGAUCAGUAGCCGGCCUGAGAGGGUGGACGGCCACAUUGGGACUGAGACACGGCCCAAACUCCUACGGAAGGCAGCAG